GUUUGGUUAAACUACCGACUUCAGUGAUGCAGUAUUCAGAUUCCAUGCAUAGGAAUUGCAAACUAGCAAGUCCACUGUUUCAAUAUCUAUAUUUUUCUUUCUGGAAAGUAAGUUGGUGUUAAUUAUAGCCAUUUACCUACCACUGAACAAAACCCUAAUAGACAGUCUGGUUACACCAUAGAUUUUAAUUAGUAGUUAUGUGGUCAGAGCCUUGCACAAGAAUCGCAUGUAGGGGUGCCUGUAGUAGUGCAUGUUCGAUCUCUGGAGAUCUUGAAAGUAAAAUGGUGGUGACUCCAGUAGUUGCCACCAUAGUGGGUUAUUUUUGUAAAGAAAUAAGUUAUCCAACAAAUCUAUACCUUGGUUAAACCACUGAACUCAAUUGCUCACUUCAUUUCAUCACACCUGACCAUUGAAAAGCUGUGAAACAUCGCAAACACAAAAUGUAAUUCCUGGUUUAAGAAGACUAGAUUGAUAAAAAAGCACUCCAAUUAAUUAAACUAAAAGAAUUAAUCGAACUAAAAGCAAUAAAGGAAUUCGAAGACUCAAUAUUUCAGGAAGUUGAGUUAAGUUAUCAGCCUGUAUUACCCUGAUACCAUGAAGACAACAUUUGGUGCAUGGUUUUGUUUGUGUUUUGCUCAUGAACUAUUAAUCAGUUUGAGAAGAAUAUUUAUAUAUCAAACUAUGAAAGUGAAC
Molecule: non-coding RNA, 693 nt
Organism: Paramuricea clavata
Lineage: Eukaryota; Metazoa; Cnidaria; Anthozoa; Malacalcyonacea; Plexauridae
Source: the annotation of a GenBank genome assembly